This 1452-nucleotide long non-coding RNA is filed under the name Lonchura striata (white-rumped munia). Its description in RNAcentral is "domestica (Bengalese finch) lncRNA (ENSLSDG00000001845.1)". Lineage: Eukaryota; Metazoa; Chordata; Aves; Passeriformes; Estrildidae. The record is from RNAcentral.
AAAUACCAAAAAUACCUGAGAAUAACAAAAAAACCCCAAAAAUCAUGUCCCGCAGACGGCCGGGAGGGAAGCCCCAAACUCAGCGGCUUUUCCUCCCCGGGAUGCGCAGGAGGCAGCGCGGAGGUCUGGGGACCCUGAGGCUGUCGUUGUGACUGUCGUUGUGAUUGUCGCUGUGAUUGUGGAUGUGACUGUCGCUGUGACUGUCGCUGUGAUUGUUGUUGUGAUUGUCGCUGUGGCUGUCGCUGUAGUUGUCGCUGUGGCUGUCGCUGUGAUUGUCGCUGUGAUUGUCGCUGUGACUGUUGCUGUGAUUGUCGUUGUCGCUGUGGCUGUCGCUGUGGCUGUCCCUGUGGCUGUCGCUGUGAGUGUCGCUGUGGCUGUCGCUGUGAUUGUCGCUGUGAUUGUCGCUGUGAUUGUCGCUGUGGCUGUGAUUGUCGCUGUUAUUGUCGUUGUUGCUGUGGCUGUCGCUGUGAUUGUCGCUGUGACUGUCGCUGUGGCUGUCGCUGUGACUGUCGCUGUUAUUGUCGCUGUGAUUGUCGCUGUGGCUGUCGCUGUGAUUGUUGCUGUGAUUGUCGCUGUUAUUGUCGUUGUCGCUGUGAUUGUCGCUGUGAUUGUCGCUGUGGCUGUUGCUGUGAUUGUCGCUGUGACUGUCGCUGUGAUUGUCGCUGUGACUGUCGCUGUGAUUGUCGCUGUGACUGUCGCUGUGAUUGUCGCUGUUAUUGUCGUUGUCGCUGUGAUUGUCGCUGUGACUGUUGCUGUGAUUGUCGUUGUCGCUGUGAUUGUCGCUGUGGCUGUCGAUGUGAUUGUCGUUGUCGCUGUGGCUGUGGCUGUGGCUGUCGCUGUGGCUGUCGUUGUGAUUGUCGCUGUGAUUGUCGCUGUGAUUGUCGCUGUGAUUGUCGUUGUCGCUGUGUCUGUCGCUGUGGCUGUCGCUGUGGCUGUCGCUGUGGCUGUCUCUGUGAUUGUCGCUGUCGCUGUUAUUGUCACUGUCGCUGUCGCUGCCGCUGUCGCUGUCGCUGUGUCUGUCGCUGUGACUGUCGCUGUGACUGUCGCUGUGGCUGUCGCUGUGAUUGUCGCUGUCGCUGUGUCUGUCGCUGUGACUGUCGCUGUGACUGUCGCUGUGGCUGUCUCUGUGAUUGUCGCUGUCGCUGUGGCUGUCUCUGUGGCUGUCGCUGUGAUUGUCGCUGUCGCUGUGAUUGUCGUUGUCGCUGUGGCUGUCGCUGUGGCUGUCUCUGUGGCUGUCGCUGUGGCUGUCGCUGUGGCUGUCGCUGUGAUUGUCGCUGUGGCUGUCGCUGUGGCUGUCGCUGUGAUUGUCGCUGUGAUUGUCGCUGUGAUUGUCGUUGUCGCUGUGGCUGUCGCUGUGACUGUCGCUGUCGCUGUGACUGUCGCUGUCGCUGUGACUGUCGCUGUCGCUGCCGCUGCCGCGCGGGGCUCCGCUGUCCCCGCCGCGCCCCGGCC